Molecule: ribosomal RNA, 492 nt
Filed under: uncultured bacterium
Lineage: Bacteria
Description: partial 16S ribosomal RNA
Rfam family: Bacterial small subunit ribosomal RNA
Source: RNAcentral
AGUGAACGCUGGCGGUAGGCCUAACACAUGCAAGUCGAACGGCAGCACAGUAAGAGCUUGCUCUUACGGGUGGCGAGUGGCGGACGGGUGAGGAAUACAUCGGAAUCUACUUUUUCGUGGGGGAUAACGUAGGGAAACUUACGCUAAUACCGCAUACGACCUACGGGUGAAAGCAGGGGAUCUUCGGACCUUGCGCGAUUGAAUGAGCCGAUGUCGGAUUAGCUAGUUGGCGGGGUAAAGGCCCACCAAGGCGACGAUCCGUGGCUGGUCUGAGAGGAUGAUCAGCCACACUGGAACUGAGACACGGUCCAGACUCCUACGGGAGGCAGCAGUGGGGAAUAUUGGACAAUGGGCGCAAGGCUGAUCCAGCCAUACCGCGUGGGUGAAGAAGGCCUUCGGGUUGUAAAGCCCUUUUGUUGGGAAAGAAAAGCAGCAGGUUAAUACCCCGCUGUUCUGACGGUACCCAAAGAAUAAGCACCGGCUAACUUCGUG